Molecule: long non-coding RNA, 1354 nt
Filed under: Struthio camelus australis
Lineage: Eukaryota; Metazoa; Chordata; Aves; Struthioniformes; Struthionidae
Description: lncRNA (ENSSCUG00000010449.1)
Source: RNAcentral
GCCCAGUCUGGGAUAUUGGUACAGGGCUCCCCUUAGAGGGCACCAUGCAAACAGCUGUUCUCAGCAAGCCAAAAAACUUUGGCACAGACAGACUUCUGCUUUCAUGGCAAAUCCCUGUAUGAACUCCCAGGAUCUGGAAGGUUUCCUGAAGGUUCCCCCCUUCACUGUCUCCACAGGUCUUUUAUGCCACAUUUUCCAGGGAGAAAGGCAACAUGUUCCUACCCUUUCGCUUCGAGAGCGAGCAGAGCUUCAGACCAACCAGCACUUAGGCAUAUGCUUAACUGAAAGCACACCAGUACUCCACCAAAGGAUGCACACAACCAAAAGCUAACAACAAGCAUUUGGCUUCAGCAGAUCCAGAAGGAUGAAUUUCUCACCUGGGAUUUCAGCCUCUGUGACAAGAUGAAGGAGAUUUCACUGCAGCUCAACGUUAUCUGGGCUCCAGAUAUCGUCAAUGAUUUGCAAGUUUGCCAUUAGGUUUGUCAUUUCCUUGCAAGAAUUGGCUUCCUAUGUUUAAACAGGAGCAGUUGAAAGCCUUCCUUUCCACUCUGAUGCAGAACCUGCCCCCACAAUACGAAGGCUUCAGGCUCAGCUAGCUCUUGCUCAAGUUGAACGAACACCUGAAAAAGGAGGCAUCCAAAAAUUCAUCCUUCCUUUAGGAAUCUUGGCCCCUGCCUUCCUUGUAAUUGUGCCUGUGCCUCCUCUGUGAUGAUCUAGCCCCCUCUGUGCCCCACUGCUCCUGCAAAACUCUGUCCUUUCCAGCAUGGACAUCAGGAAGGCUCCUGAGCUGCCCUAUGUCCACAUCAACACUACUGGGACAGUCAGGAGCUACUGGCCACAGCAGCAGCUCACAGCCCCUCCGCCCACAGGCACAGAGGUGGUGUUAAUUCCCAGGUGAUGAGUGCAUGCCACUGCUCUCUCCAGGCCUGUCCCACACUCGCUAUCCUGGGGACUCACCUUCCUAGCAGCUAGUCAGCCCUAAGGCUGAGCCCGUGGACCCUCUCCCCGGAGCGCAGGGGGCUGGCAAGGAGCUGCUCCGUGCUCGCCGCGAGGAGAGCGGGCUGUUGUUUUGAUGAGCUUCUUGACUAAGGCUUAAACACUUCAUUAAUUUUAAAGAUAUCAGCUUGCGACACAUUACCAGAGCGGCAGGAAAUAAUGAAGAACAUUUGGCCCCCUGGCCGCAGCUUCGGCUGGGCACCACGGGCUUGCCCGGGACACCUGAAAAAAGAGAAAGGGGAUUUCUCAGCAAAAUCUGUUCAAAUUUUUUAAAUCAAAAGCUAACAGCCUUCUCAGCCCAACUUAACCUUUCCAAUUUCCCCAAAAUCUUUCUCAUUUUCCUCUGUAAAAGGAAGGG